CCUACGGGAGGCAGCAGUGGGGAAUUUUGCGCAAUGCUCGUAAGAGUGACGCAGCGACGCCGCGUGAAUGACGAAGGCCUUCGGGUCGUAAAGUUCUUUCGACAGGGAAGAAAAUGCAUAUAAGUAACUGUGUAUGUAUUGACGGUACCUGUAUAAGCAGCCCCGGCUAACUCCGUGCCAGCAGCCGCGUUAAUACGGAGGGGGCGGGCGUUGUUCGGAGGGACUGGGCGUAAAGAGCACGUAGGCGGUGUUGUAAGUCAUUAGUCAAAGACUAGAGCUCAACUUUAGUAAGGCUAGUGAUACUAUAAUACUAGAGUAUCAGAGAGGAUUGCAGAAUUCCUGGUGUAGCGGUGAAAUGCGUAGAUAUCAGGAGGAAUACCGUUAGCGAAGGCGGCAAUCUGGCUGGAAACUGACGCUGAGGUGCGAAAGCGUGGGUAGCAAACAGGAUUAGAUACCCCAGUAGUC
Molecule: ribosomal RNA, 465 nt
Filed under: uncultured bacterium
Lineage: Bacteria
Description: partial 16S ribosomal RNA
Rfam family: Bacterial small subunit ribosomal RNA
Source: RNAcentral